GCUCGUCCCGGCGAGCAUAAACAGCCGUUAGGCCGGGAGCGGCGGCGCGUACGUGCGCCGCGUCGGG
RNAcentral lists this ribozyme (67 nucleotides) under unclassified sequences. Its description in RNAcentral is "pistol ribozyme". It matches the Rfam family "Pistol ribozyme". The record is from RNAcentral.